RNAcentral lists this non-coding RNA (29 nucleotides) under Homo sapiens (human). The record is from RNAcentral. Lineage: Eukaryota; Metazoa; Chordata; Mammalia; Primates; Hominidae.
UGGGCCAUGCUUGUGAAGUGAUGUGUGUC